GAUGAACGCUGACAGAAUGCUUAACACAUGCAAGUCAACUUGAACUUCGGUUUGGGUGGCGGACGGGUGAGUAACGCGUAAAGAACUUGCCUCACAGAUAGGGACAACAUUUGGAAACGAAUGCUAAUACCUGAUAUUAUGAUUAUAUGGCAUCGUAUAAUUAUGAAAGCUAUAUGCGCUGUGAGAGAGCUUUGCGUCCCAUUGGCUAGUUGGAGAGGUAACGGCUCACCAAGGCGAUGAUGGGUAGCCGGCCUGAGAGGGUGAUCGGCCACAAGGGGACUGAGACACGGCCCUUACUCCUACGGGAGGCAGCAGUGGGGAAUAUUGGACAAUGGACCAAGAGUCUGAUCCAGCAAUUCUGUGUGCACGAUGAAGUUUUUCGGAAUGUAAAGUGCUUUCAGUUGGGAAGAAAAAAAUGACGGUACCAACAGAAGAAGUGACGGCUAAAUACGUG
This 454-nucleotide ribosomal RNA is filed under the name uncultured bacterium. Its description in RNAcentral is "partial 16S ribosomal RNA". It matches the Rfam family "Bacterial small subunit ribosomal RNA", at positions 28 to 507 of the family's 1533-position model. The record is from RNAcentral.